RNAcentral lists this ribosomal RNA (457 nucleotides) under uncultured bacterium. RNAcentral describes it as "bacterial SSU rRNA". It matches the Rfam family "Bacterial small subunit ribosomal RNA", at positions 460 to 916 of the family's 1533-position model. The record is from RNAcentral.
GUGAAGAUAAUGACUGUAGCAGGUAAAGAAACCCCGGCUAACUCCGUGCCAGCAGCCGCGGUAAUACGGAGGGGGUUAGCGUUGUUCGGAAUUACUGGGCGUAAAGCGCGCGUAGGCGGACAUUUAAGUCAGGGGUGAAAUCCCGGGGCUCAACCCCGGAACUGCCCUUGAUACUGGGUGUCUUGAGUUCGAGAGAGGUGAGUGGAAUUCCGAGUGUAGAGGUGAAAUUCGUAGAUAUUCGGAGGAACACCAGUGGCGAAGGCGGCUCACUGGCUCGAUACUGACGCUGAGGUGCGAAAGUGUGGGGAGCAAACAGGAUUAGAUACCCUGGUAGUCCACACCGUAAACGAUGAAUGCCAGUCGUCGGGUAGCAUGCUAUUCGGUGACACACCUAACGGAUUAAGCAUUCCGCCUGGGGAGUACGGUCGCAAGAUUAAAACUCAAAGAAAUUUGACGG